Saimiri boliviensis boliviensis (Bolivian squirrel monkey) is the source of this 404-nucleotide non-coding RNA. The record is from RefSeq and is a predicted model, not a curated record. Lineage: Eukaryota; Metazoa; Chordata; Mammalia; Primates; Cebidae.
CCCCUCGCCCGCUGCGCAGACGCGGAACUGCCGGGACCGGCGCCGGCCGGGGCCGGGCGCAUCCCCACCUCGCCCGGGGCGGGCUGGAGGCGCGGGCCUGGGGCUGUCGGACUCCGGCUAGGUGGAGAAAGGGACGCCUGUCCUCUGCAGAAGAGGAGAGACUGGAAGGUAUGGGAUUCGGGCCAGUAGUGUAAGCCGAGUGCAGCCUGCCAGGCCAAAUAGGAAGAAGGAGCCCAGCAAGUCCAAGCAAAACUCUGGCAAAGGCACCACCAGACACAAACGUUUCCAGCUGGCAUUGUCAGUGUUCCCUCUGUAUCUUCUGGACAUUCACCAUUCCUGUAAAUGCAAAAGGAUUUUUACUGUAUGCAUCUCUAACUCUCUGCCUAGGAGAUCUCGCUAGAGUA